RNAcentral lists this ribosomal RNA (544 nucleotides) under Botryosphaeria dothidea. RNAcentral's name for it is "eukaryotic LSU rRNA". The stretch from base 192 to 345 matches the Rfam family "5.8S ribosomal RNA". Lineage: Eukaryota; Fungi; Ascomycota; Dothideomycetes; Botryosphaeriales; Botryosphaeriaceae. The record is from RNAcentral.
AAGGAUCAUUACCGAGUUGAUUCGGGCUCCGGCCCGAUCCUCCCACCCUUUGUGUACCUACCUCUGUUGCUUUGGCGGGCCGCGGUCCUCCGCGGCCGCCCCCCUCCCCGGGGGGGUGGCCAGCGCCCGCCAGAGGACCAUCAAACUCCAGUCAGUAAACGAUGCAGUCUGAAAAACAUUUAAUAAACUAAAACUUUCAACAACGGAUCUCUUGGUUCUGGCAUCGAUGAAGAACGCAGCGAAAUGCGAUAAGUAAUGUGAAUUGCAGAAUUCAGUGAAUCAUCGAAUCUUUGAACGCACAUUGCGCCCUUUGGUAUUCCGAAGGGCAUGCCUGUUCGAGCGUCAUUACAACCCUCAAGCUCUGCUUGGUAUUGGGCACCGUCCUUUGCGGGCGCGCCUCAAAGACCUCGGCGGUGGCGUCUUGCCUCAAGCGUAGUAGAACAUACAUCUCGCUUCGGAGCGCAGGGCGCCGCCCGCCGGACGAACCUUCUGAACUUUUCUCAAGGUUGACCUCGGAUCAGGUAGGGAUACCCGCUGAACUUAA